RNAcentral lists this long non-coding RNA (444 nucleotides) under Setaria viridis. RNAcentral's name for it is "long non-coding RNA (SVIR_LNC006455)". Lineage: Eukaryota; Viridiplantae; Streptophyta; Magnoliopsida; Poales; Poaceae. The record is from RNAcentral.
UUUUUUUUUUGUUUUUGUGUGUGUAUGUAAAAACCGUGGUAUGGUUGCUUACGAGUGUUGUAUAACCUACUGCACUCAAUUCUAUACUUAACUCAAUAUAUUGUUAUAGAACACUUAACUCAACUACUAGACCGGAUACCAAUAUAUUGUUAUUUUUUUUUUGGAAAUUUUGUUUUACUGGUUUCAUACUUUGGAGUAGCAUUCUAGAUAUGCACCAAUCUGUUAGAAUUUUUAGACAAUUAGAUGAUUGCUAUCCUGGUAAACCAAUCAUGAAAAAUCCUGAUGGAAAUUGUGAUCCUGAGAAAAGACUAGUGUUUAAGUGUUUACGUAUAUAUGGCUCGUCAGGCCACUAUAAGAAAAUCUCCUCACAAAGUGCCGGCAACUAUUGGUGUGCAAUCAGGCGUUUGAAAGAAAAGGGACAUUUAAUUCUUUGCAACUCAUCCC